GUUUAUGUUAAGACUGGCAGCGGACCGCGGUUCUCAUGUUUACUGCUUGAGAGGAGCACGCCAGCUGGAACGUGUCUAUGAGACAGCCAAAACACUAAGCAUUCAGUGUGAAAAAAAAGGUCUGGUAUCUGGAAAAUAUUGAAGCAGAAAAAGAUCAUAUGCCUUUAAGAUUAAUUUUGUAAUGUAA
Molecule: long non-coding RNA, 187 nt
Organism: Bufo gargarizans (Asiatic toad)
Lineage: Eukaryota; Metazoa; Chordata; Amphibia; Anura; Bufonidae
Exons: 3
Source: RefSeq, a predicted model, not a curated record